GAUGAACGCUGGCGGCGUGCCUAAUACAUGCAAGUCGAGCGAACGGACGAGAAGCUUGCUUCUCUGAUGUUAGCGGCGGACGGGUGAGUAACACGUGGAUAACCUACCUAUAAGACUGGGAUAACUUCGGGAAACCGGAGCUAAUACCGGAUAAUAUUUUGAACCGCAUGGUUCAAAAGUGAAAGACGGUCUUGCUGUCACUUAUAGAUGGAUCCGCGCUGCAUUAGCUAGUUGGUAAGGUAACGGCUUACCAAGGCAACGAUGCAUAGCCGACCUGAGAGGGUGAUCGGCCACACUGGAACUGAGACACGGUCCAGACUCCUACGGGAGGCAGCAGUAGGGAAUCUUCCGCAAUGGGCGAAAGCCUGACGGAGCAACGCCGCGUGAGUGAUGAAGGUCUUCGGAUCGUAAAACUCUGUUAUUAGGGAAGAACAUAUGUGUAAGUAACUGUGCACAUCUUGACGGUACCUAAUCAGAAAGCCACGGCUAACUACGUGCCAGCAGCCGCGGUAAUACGUAGGUGGCAAGCGUUAUCCGGAAUUAUUGGGCGUAAAGCGCGCGUAGGCGGUUUUUUAAGUCUGAUGUGAAAGCCCACGGCUCAACCGUGGAGGGUCAUUGGAAACUGGAAAACUUGAGUGCAGAAGAGGAAAGUGGAAUUCCAUGUGUAGCGGUGAAAUGCGCAGAGAUAUGGAGGAACACCAGUGGCGAAGGCGACUUUCUGGUCUGUAACUGACGCUGACGUGCGAAAGCGUGGGGAUCAAACAGGAUUAGAUACCCUGGUAGUCCACGCCGUAAACGAUGAGUGCUAAGUGUUAGGGGGUUUCCGCCCCUUAGUGCUGCAGCUAACGCAUUAAGCACUCCGCCUGGGGAGUACGACCGCAAGGUUGAAACUCAAAGGAAUUGACGGGGGCCCGCACAAGCGGUGGAGCAUGUGGUUUAAUUCGAAGCAACGCGAAGAACCUUACCAAAUCUUGACAUCCUUUGACAACUCUAGAGAUAGAGCCUUCCCCUUCGGGGGGCAAAGUGACAGGUGGUGCAUGGUUGUCGUCAGCUCGUGUCGUGAGAUGUUGGGUUAAGUCCCGCAACGAGCGCAACCCUUAAGCUUAGUUGCCAUCAUUAAGUUGGGCACUCUAAGUUGACUGCCGGUGACAAACCGGAGGAAGGUGGGGAUGACGUCAAAUCAUCAUGCCCCUUAUGAUUUGGGCUACACACGUGCUACAAUGGACAAUACAAAGGGCAGCGAAACCGCGAGGUCAAGCAAAUCCCAUAAAGUUGUUCUCAGUUCGGAUUGUAGUCUGCAACUCGACUACAUGAAGCUGGAAUCGCUAGUAAUCGUAGAUCAGCAUGCUACGGUGAAUACGUUCCCGGGUCU
This 1372-nucleotide ribosomal RNA is filed under the name uncultured bacterium. Its description in RNAcentral is "bacterial SSU rRNA". It matches the Rfam family "Bacterial small subunit ribosomal RNA", at positions 28 to 1381 of the family's 1533-position model. The record is from RNAcentral.